Molecule: ribosomal RNA, 451 nt
Filed under: uncultured bacterium
Lineage: Bacteria
Description: partial 16S ribosomal RNA
Rfam family: Bacterial small subunit ribosomal RNA
Source: RNAcentral
GAUGAAUGCUGGCGGCGUGCCUAACACAUGCAAGUCGAGCGGCAGCGAGGGGUGCUUGCACCCUGUCGGCGAGCGGCGAACGGCUGAGUAACGCGUAGGAAUUUGCCCCAAAGUGAGGAAUAACUGCCCGAAAGGGUAGCUAAUGCCGCAUAUGGUCCUCGGAUUAAAGGAUUUAUCCGCUUUGGGAGAAGCCUGCGUUGGAUUAGGUUGUUGGUAGGGUAAUGGCCUACCAAGCCGACGAUCCAUAGCUGGUCUGAGAGGAUGAUCAGCCAGACUGGAACUGAGACACGGUCCAGACUCCUACGGGAAGCAGCAGUGAGGAAUCUUCCACAAUGGGCGAAAGCCUGAUGGAGCAACGCCGCGUGAAGGAUGAAGGCCUUCGGGUUGUAAACUUCUUUUAUGAGUGAAGAAUAUGACGGUAACUCAUGAAUAAGCACCGGCUAACUACGUG